GAUGAACGCUGGCGGCGUGCCUUACACAUGCAAGUCGAACGGAAAGGCCCUUGCUUUCUGCUGGUCUCGAGUGGCGAACGGGUGAGUAAUACAUCAGUACCCUUCCCUUGACUUUGGGUUAACCUCCGGAAACCGGGUUCAAUACCCGUACGGACUUCCUGUUGCAGCGGGGGGGCUGGGAAGUUUCGGCGGUUGGGGUUGGACUCGCGGCUUAUCCGCUUGUUGGUGGGGUAGUGGCUUACCAAGGCUUUGACGGGUAGCCGGCCUGAGAGGGUGACCGGCCACAUUGGGACUGAGAUACGGCCCAGACUCCUACGGGAGGCAGCAGUGGGGAAUAUUGCACAAUGGGCGGAAGCCUGAUGCAGCAACGCCGCGUGCGGGAUGACGGCCUUCGGGUUGUAAACCGCUUUCGCCUGUGACGAAGCGUGAGUGACGGUAAUGGGUAAAGAAGCACCGGCUAACUACGUG
This 468-nucleotide ribosomal RNA is filed under the name uncultured bacterium. RNAcentral describes it as "partial 16S ribosomal RNA". It matches the Rfam family "Bacterial small subunit ribosomal RNA", at positions 28 to 507 of the family's 1533-position model. The record is from RNAcentral.